UAAGGUGAUAUGAACCGUUAUAACCGGCGAUACCCGAAUGGGGAAACCCAGUGUGACUCGUCACACUAUCAUUAACUGAAUCCAUAGGUUAAUGAGGCGAACCGGGGGAACUGAAACAUCUAAGUACCCCGAGGAAAAGAAAUCAACCGAGAUUCCCCCAGUAGCGGCGAGCGAACGGGGAGGAGCCCAGAGCCUGAAUCAGCAUGUGUGUUAGUGGAAGCGUCUGGAAAGGCGCGCGAUACAGGGUGACAGCCCCGUACACAAAAGCGCAUGUGCUGUGAGCUCGAUGAGUAGGGCGGGACACGUGGUAUCCUGUCUGAAUAUGGGGGGACCAUCCUCCAAGGCUAAAUACUCCUGACUGACCGAUAGUGAACCAGUACCGUGAGGGAAAGGCGAAAAGAACCCCGGCGAGGGGAGUGAAAAAGAACCUGAAACCGUGUACGUACAAGCAGUGGGAGCACCCUUCGGGGUGUGACUGCGUACCUUUUGUAUAAUGGGUCAGCGACUUAUAUUCUGUAGCAAGGUUAACCGUAUAGGGGAGCCGGAGGGAAACCGAGUCUUAAUUGGGCGUUAAGUUGCAGGGUAUAGACCCGAAACCCGGUGAUCUAGCCAUGGGCAGGUUGAAGGUUGGGUAACACUAACUGGAGGACCGAACCGACUAAUGUUGAAAAAUUAGCGGAUGACCUGUGGCUGGGGGUGAAAGGCCAAUCAAACCGGGAGAUAGCUGGUUCUCCCCGAAAGCUAUUUAGGUAGCGCCUCGUGAAUUCAUCUCCGGGGGUAGAGCACUGUUUCGGCUAGGGGGCCAUCCCGGCUUACCAACCCGAUGCAAACUGCGAAUACCGGAGAAUGUUAUCACGGGAGACACACGGCGGGUGCUAACGUCCGUCGUGAAGAGGGAAACAACCCAGACCGCCAGCUAAGGUCCCAAAGUCAUGGUUAAGUGGGAAACGAUGUGGGAAGGCCCAGACAGCCAGGAUGUUGGCUUAGAAGCAGCCAUCAUUUAAAGAAAGCGUAAUAGCUCACUGGUCGAGUCGGCCUGCGCGGAAGAUGUAACGGGGCUAAACCAUGCACCGAAGCUGCGGCAGCGAACGUAUCACCCAAGACAACUUUACGGAGUUGACGAUUGACGGAGCGAAGCGACGUCAAAGCGUUCAUUAAAGUCGAGUUGGCUUAGGGAUACGUUCGUUGGGUAGGGGAGCGUUCUGUAAGCCUGUGAAGGUGUGUCGUGAGGCAUGCUGGAGGUAUCAGAAGUGCGAAUGCUGACAUAAGUAACGAUAAAGCGGGUGAAAAGCCCGCUCGCCGGAAGACCAAGGGUUCCUGUCCAACGUUAAUCGGGGCAGGGUGAGUCGACCCCUAAGGCGAGGCCGAAAGGCGUAGUCGAUGGGAAACGGGUUAAUAUUCCCGUACUUGGUGUUACUGCGAAGGGGGGACGGAGAAGGCUAUGUUGGCCGGGCGACGGUUGUCCCGGUUUAAGCGUGUAGGUGUGUGUUCCAGGUAAAUCCGGUUCACUUUAACACUGAGGCGUGACG
RNAcentral lists this ribosomal RNA (1529 nucleotides) under Salmonella enterica subsp. enterica serovar Typhimurium. RNAcentral describes it as "partial 23S ribosomal RNA". It matches the Rfam family "Bacterial large subunit ribosomal RNA", at positions 82 to 1568 of the family's 2925-position model. The record is from RNAcentral. Lineage: Bacteria; Pseudomonadati; Pseudomonadota; Gammaproteobacteria; Enterobacterales; Enterobacteriaceae.